RNAcentral lists this long non-coding RNA (222 nucleotides) under Elaeis guineensis (African oil palm). Its description in RNAcentral is "long non-coding RNA (EGUI_LNC033865)". The record is from RNAcentral. Lineage: Eukaryota; Viridiplantae; Streptophyta; Magnoliopsida; Arecales; Arecaceae.
UCCCCUAACUCAUGUCGAGAUGUAGAAACUACAAAAGAGAAGCCACGAUUUUUCCGCUAUCAUGGUUACCUUUUUUUUUUUUUGAUACAAAUAGGUGGCCACACCAGUCUAGUGCGAAAGCAGUCCAAAAGAUCCAAAUACACAAAGUCCCACAAGAUCAAUAGACAAUUCUCACCUUGUCUCCAAAUCCAAUCAUCGAAGUGCUCCGCAAUAUAUGCCGCC